GACGAACGCUGGCGGCGUGCUUAACACAUGCAAGUCGAACGGAAAGGCCCUGCUUUUGUGGGGUGCUCGAGUGGCGAACGGGUGAGUAACACGUGAGUAACCUGCCCUUGACUUUGUGAUAACUUCAGGAAACUGGGGCUAAUACCGGAUAGGAGCUCCUGCUGCAUGGUGGGGGUUGGAAAGUUUCGGCGGUUGGGGAUGGACUCGCGGCUUAUCAGCUUGUUGGUGGGGUAGUGGCUUACCAAGGCUUUGACGGGUAGCCGGCCUGAGAGGGUGACCGGCCACAUUGGGACUGAGAUACGGCCCAGACUCCUACGGGAGGCAGCAGUGGGGAGUAUUGCACAAUGGGCGGAAGCCUGAGGCAGCAACGCCGCGUGCGGGAUGACGGCCUUCGGGUUGUAAACCGCUUUCGCCUGUGACGAAGCGUGAGUGACGGUAAUGGGUAAAGAAGCACCGGCUAACUACGUG
This 468-nucleotide ribosomal RNA is filed under the name uncultured bacterium. RNAcentral describes it as "partial 16S ribosomal RNA". It matches the Rfam family "Bacterial small subunit ribosomal RNA", at positions 28 to 507 of the family's 1533-position model. The record is from RNAcentral.